Molecule: long non-coding RNA, 2024 nt
Filed under: Salmo salar (Atlantic salmon)
Lineage: Eukaryota; Metazoa; Chordata; Actinopteri; Salmoniformes; Salmonidae
Description: lncRNA (ENSSSAG00000092266.1)
Source: RNAcentral
ACUAUAUUCACACACAAAUUCCCAAAUGACAUUAUACUAUAGAAACGUCUGAUUAUUCCCUGUUAAAAGGGUUCAUAAACAUUUUGACAGAUGGAAUUUCAUGACUUCUCCAUGACCAAUGAUUAGUGUUGUCUCUAUAUAGCCUACAUUAAAAAGUCAGCAUAUAUGUGUUAUUGACACUAGAAGGCUGCUCUGCCCUACCAAGCAAAAAGGCAGUAACUGCUCAUUUGGUCGAAAAUGAGUUAAUGUCAUUUUUUUUGCCACAUUAAAUACAUUCUUAAUAAUGUAGACAAGUAUCCUGCCUCUAUUGUAUUGUGUUCAGGAGAAAAUGUUAGCAGUAACUGCAGUGUACUGUGUUAGACCAGGGCUGAUGUUUAGGCUGCAGAGUGGAGUAUUAAACCAGGGCUGAUGUUUAGGCUGCAGUGUGGAGUAUUAAACCAGGGCUGAUGUUUAGGCUGCAGUGUGGAGUAUUAGAGCAGGGCUGAUGUUUAGGCUGCAGAGUGGUGAGUUAGACCAGGGCUGAUGUUUAGGCUACAGUGUGGAGUAUUAGACCAGGGCUGAUGUUUAGGCUGCAGUGUGGAGUAUUAGACCAGGGCUGAUGUUUAGGCUGCAGUGUGGAGUAUUAGACCAGGGCUGAUGUUUAGGCUGCAGUGUACUGUGUUAGACCAGGGCUGAUGUUUAGGCUGCAGUGUACUGUGUUAGACCAGGGCUGAUGUUUAGGCUACAGUGUACUGUGUUAGACCAGGGCUGAUGUUUAGGCUGCAGUGUGGAGUAUUAGACCAGGGCUGAUGUUUAGGCUGCAGUGUGGAGUAUUAGACCAGGGCUGAUGUUUAGGCUGCAGUGUGGAGUAUUAGAGCAGGGCUGAUGUUUAGGCUGCAGUGUGGAGUAUUAGAGCAGGGCUGAUGUUUAGGCUGCAGUGUACUGUGUUAGACCAGGGCUGAUGUUUAGGCUACAGUGUACUGUGUUAGACCAGGGCUGAUGUUUAGGCUACAGAGUGGAGUAUUAAACCAGGGCUGAUGUUUAGGCUGCAGUGUACUGUGUUAGAUCAGGGCUGAUGUUUAGGCUACAGUGUGGAGUAUUAGACCAGGGCUGAUGUUUAGGCUGCAGUGUGGAGUAUUAGAGCAGGGCUGAUGUUUAGGCUACAGCAUGGUGAGUUAAAGCAGGGCUGAUGUUUAGGCUGCAGUAUGGAGUAUUAGACCAGGGCUGAUGUUUAGGCUACAGCAUGGUGGGUUAGACCAGGGCUGAUGUUUAGGCUACAGUGUACUGUGUUAGAGCAGGGCUGGAAUAAAAGCCUGCACACCCAGUAGCUCUCCUGGACAAUGGUUGGCCACCCCUGAAAUAAAAGUUUACCACAUUAACCAAAUACUUGUAUGUCUUUAUACAAUGAUUCACUCAUUCAAUGAAUCAGGGAUACAAUGGGUAUGGUAGGCUACUUCAAAGGAAGGUAGCUAACUAAAACAUGUUAUCUAUAACUUUAUAAGACUAAAAUAUUCAUGUUUCAGGGGAGAUCUAUGUACAGCAUGGAAGUUAUUUGUCAAUUAGGCUAUUCUGAGAAUAUGUUUUAAGUUAUUGGAAUUACAUAGCCUAUUGUUUAAUAGAAAAGUGACAAUGAGUCAAUGACAUGAAUGCUUAGGCCUACAGCUAAAUAUACCGAAUAUAAACGCAACAUGUAACAAUUUCAACUAUUUUACUGAGCUACAGUUCAUAUAAGGAAAUCAGUCAAAUGAAAUAAAUAAAUUAGGACCUAAUCUAUGGAUUUUACAUGACUGGGCAGGGGCACAGCUAUGGGUGGGCAUGGGAAGGCAUAGGCCCACCCACUGGGGAGCCAGGCCUAGCCAAUCAGAAUGAGUCUAUGCCCACAAAAGGGCAUUAUUACAGACAGGAAAACUCCUGAGUUUCAUCAGCUGCCCGGGUGGAUGGUCUCAGAUGAUCCUGCAGGUGAAGAAGCCAGAUGUGGAGGUCCUGGGCUGGCAUGGUUACACGUUGUCUACGGUUGUGAGGCCAGUUGGACAUACUGCCAAAUU